GGUCAAUGAUGAGCAGUAAAAGGGCUGACCCCAGGCCCCCGCCCUGCACUCGCAGCGUCCCCAGCCGCCUCCCUCCCGUCUGGCCCCAGCAGUGCUCCGACGGGCACAAGGGCGGCUGACACACGGCGAUGCCCCAGGCCUGUGCUCCUUGGCGAGCCCACGGAGGACGCGUGGUUGGCAUCCCACAGGCAGCCUGUGAAGGGAUGUGACUGCAGGAGGGUGGCAUCUGGCUCUGAUCUGACUUUUGCGCUGAGACC
This is a non-coding RNA of Phyllostomus discolor (pale spear-nosed bat), 257 nucleotides long. RefSeq annotates it as small Cajal body-specific RNA 6. The record is from RefSeq and is a predicted model, not a curated record. The transcript has a single exon. NCBI's taxonomy places the organism in Eukaryota, Metazoa, Chordata, Mammalia, Chiroptera, Phyllostomidae.